This 429-nucleotide ribosomal RNA is filed under the name uncultured bacterium. RNAcentral describes it as "bacterial SSU rRNA". It matches the Rfam family "Bacterial small subunit ribosomal RNA", at positions 355 to 776 of the family's 1533-position model. The record is from RNAcentral.
UGGGGAAUCUUCCGCAAUGGGCGAAAGCCUGACGGAGCAAUGCCGCGUGAGUGAUGAAGGAAUUCGUUCCGUAAAGCUCUUUUGUUUAUGACGAAUGUGCAGGUUGUGAAUAAUGAUCUGUAAUGACGGUAGUAAACGAAUAAGCCACGGCUAACUACGUGCCAGCAGCCGCGGUAAUACGUAGGUGGCGAGCGUUGUCCGGAAUUAUUGGGCGUAAAGAGCAUGUAGGCGGUUUUUUAAGUCUGGAGUGAAAAUGCGGAGCUCAACCCCGUAUGGCUCUGGAUACUGGAAGACUUGAGUGCAGGAGAGGAAAGGGGAAUUCCCAGUGUAGCGGUGAAAUGCGUAGAUAUUGGGAGGAACACCAGUGGCGAAGGCGCCUUUCUGGACUGUGUCUGACGCUGAGAUGCGAAAGCCAGGGUAGCGAACGGG